Molecule: ribosomal RNA, 545 nt
Filed under: Mycoplasma sp.
Lineage: Bacteria; Bacillati; Mycoplasmatota; Mollicutes; Mycoplasmatales; Mycoplasmataceae
Description: bacterial SSU rRNA
Rfam family: Bacterial small subunit ribosomal RNA
Source: RNAcentral
AGUAGGGAAUUUUCCACAAUGGACGAAAGUCUGAUGGAGCGACACAGCGUGCAGGAUGAAGGCCUUCGGGUUGUAAACUGCUGUUAUAAGGGAAGAAAAAGCAGAAGAGGAAAUGCUUUUGCCUUGACGGUACCUUGUCAGAAAGCAACGGCUAACUAUGUGCCAGCAGCCGCGGUAAUACAUAGGUUGCAAGCGUUAUCCGGAAUUAUUGGGCGUAAAGCGUCUGUAGGUUGUGUGUUAAGUCUGACGUAAAAACUUGGAGCUCAACUCCAAAUAGCGUUGGAUACUGGCACGCUAGAAUUGUGUAGAGGUUAGCGGAAUUCCUAGUGAAGCGGUGAAAUGCGUAGAUAUUAGGAAGAACAUCAACAUGGCGAAGGCAGCUAACUGGGCACAUAUUGACACUGAGAGACGAAAGCGUGGGGAGCAAACAGGAUUAGAUACCCUGGUAGUCCACGCCGUAAACGAUGAUGAUUAGCUGAUGGGAACCAUCGGCGCAGCUAACGCAUUAAAUCAUCCGCCUGAGUAGUAUGCACGCAAGUGUGAAA